GGGAGAGUAACACGUGGGAACGCGCCCUUCGGUUCGGGAUAACCCAGGGAAACUUGGGCUAAUACCGAAUACGCCCUUACGGGGAAAGAUUUAUUGCCGAAGGAACGGCCCGCGUCCGAUUAGCUAGUUGGUGAGGUAACGGCUCACCAAGGCGACGAUCGGUAGCUGGUCUGAGAGGAUGACCAGCCUCACUGGGACUGAGACACGGCCCAGACUCCUACGGGAGGCAGCAGCGGGGAAUAUUGGACAAUGGGCGCAAGCCUGAUCCAGCCAUGCCGCGUGGGUGAAGAAGGCCCUAGGGUUGUAAACCCCUUUCAGCAGGGAAGAUAAUGACGGUACCCGCAGAAGAAGCCCCGGCUAACUCCGUGCCAGCAGCCGCGGUAAUACGGAGGGGGCUAGCGUUGUUCGGAAUUACUGGGCGUAAAGGGCGCGUAGGCGGCUUUGCAAGUCAGAUGUGAAAUCCCCGGGCUUAAUUCGGGAAUUGCAUCUGAAACUGCUUAGCUUGAGUUCUGGAUGGGGUAGUGGAAUUCCCAGUGUAGUGGUGAAGUGCGUA
This 553-nucleotide ribosomal RNA is filed under the name uncultured bacterium. Its description in RNAcentral is "bacterial SSU rRNA". It matches the Rfam family "Bacterial small subunit ribosomal RNA", at positions 104 to 692 of the family's 1533-position model. The record is from RNAcentral.